Molecule: long non-coding RNA, 2064 nt
Filed under: Bemisia tabaci
Lineage: Eukaryota; Metazoa; Arthropoda; Insecta; Hemiptera; Aleyrodidae
Description: lncRNA ENSSSA1UGG001705
Source: RNAcentral
GCCAAACGCUCAAGUGUUGCUGAAGUGUGUCGUGUUUUAUGAGUUUUAUUAUAAUCAAGUUCGCAAUUAUUUCAAAGUUUUCGUGCAUAAUCUGUGAUCUUGGUGCUUCGUUACUCCGCUGAAUUUUCAAAUUCACAUUCAAUCGUAAGUAUUUUCCCUCCUACUUAGAACUGAUGUGCAUGUAAAUGUGAGCCUCAUCCUCUGAGGUGGGUUUUCCGCCUAGUUUUUAGCACAUUAAUGCUUCCCUACCGAAUUUAAUGCAUUAAAAUCAAGUAUUUUCCGUCAUAUCAACUAAUUUAUUUGUGAAUGUAAGCCUCAUCCACCCUGAAAUGGUGAAGCAAGGUCUGCUGUUGAUUGGUGACUCCCAAACCAAAGAUUUUGAUAAGUUCCUGUGCCUGUCUGAUAAGUUCGAUGUUACUGUCAUCAGUAAAUCUGGUCUGAAACUAGAAGAUGUGGAUAAAGACAUGCUGAAAGCCACAGAAUUUUUUAGUCAAGUUGUUCUUCAUGUCGCCACCAAUAAUAUUCCAGUUGAUUCUGCUGAUGUCAAUAAGGAAAAGGCACAAAAUCUUGUCGACCAAAUUCUAAGGAAGAACUCAUCAAUUCAGAUUUAUAUUUCCGGCAUCUUACCCAGAGGACAGAACUGUUUCGUCAAAAACGAUGAUUCUAUUGGUGUCAGAUCAAUUAACUCGCUAGUCGCUAAGUCUGUCAAUGAGACUUCGCAAAAACUGCAUACAAUAUGGAGUGAACGUAACUUCUUCUUUUGUAACUUGUGUUCACAACUUUAUGGACGGUGCAUUAAAUGACAUCGAGAUUAAGCUCAAAUGCAGUUUUCCAGCUCAGUCCUUAAAAUGGAUGCGCCAAACUUUGCAGAGCAAUAUUAAUUCAACACCUAAUGUUUGAUGUAAUGUUGGCAACAGAAAACUGAGAUUGCAAACCAUGUUUCGACAGACUGAGUGUACUUUCCCUUUUUGUCGGCAACAGUAACCAUCUGGUACGCAAAAAUAAUCAAUAUCAUUCAUCAAUACAUUUUUUAAUAAUACCUACAGAAAUCAAUAAAAAACUAUACCUGUUACGUCCGAAAAUGAAAAGUCAAGGCUGCCAAUUUGAGCUUUGUUAUCGAACAUCAAAGAUUAGAAAUUAUUGGCUUUUUUUGUUACUAUAUGUGCAUUGUUUUUGGACAAAUUUUAAUACAUUUUUUUUAAACCAUAUUUUGGUGAAAAAUCACUUAACAAAUGGAGAGUUCUAAAUUGAAGCUGAAAAAGCGUCAUCUUGAUUUACUGUUUAUAAAUGUAAUCGGAAAAUAUUUGACUGAAGUAGUAUGUAUCUUGGCACGACGAGUUCAGAGGAUGGAAGAGGGAAAAGAGAGGGAUGUAUUAACCACACCAUACGGAGAGGUAAAACCAUUUCUGUGUUUCCUUACGUGAGUUCAGCCGCUGUAUGACAGUGUGUCUGUCAAUUUGCUAAAUACCCUUUGCUGGUACCCGUUCUUAAAUUUGUCUAUCUUAAUUUGUUUCAGGCGUUUUUUGCAUGGAUCAAGAAACUUUUUGCAAUUCGAUGGUUCCAUUGAGCAGCAUUUGCUGUCACAGGAUAGUCUUCACCUUUCUCAUCCUCAGAGCUUAAUUCAUAGGAAUGUAAACGGAGGUGGCUCCACAGAGACUCAUCUUUACCCCCGAACUUGUGAUGUGUGUCACAAAAUUUACGCCUCCAAACAAUCAUAUUAUGCUCAUAUUAGAUUAAACAGAUGUGCACCAAAGCCGAACGAUGUGAAGGAAGCAGAAACUUCCAAUAAAUUUAAGAAUUGUAAUAAUAAGUCUUGUAAUUUUAAGCAUGUUAACCUCCCACAAUUAUUAGAGCACCUUGAUGAGGGUUGCCCAGAUAGUGAUUGCCAAAAAACUAAUGAAGAAAUCAUUCCAAAAGCUGAUCCUGUAACCACGGGAAGUUUGAUAGUUUGCCCCGAUUGUUCCUCCGCUUAUUCAAAUAGUAGUUCCUACAGUAAACAUUUUAAAACCUGCCUCAACACCGCAGUGCAAUUCACAAAGUGCAUCGAACCUUCUUGUAGUAUUA